CGCGUAGGCGGUUGAGUAAGUCAAAUGUGAAAUCCCCGGGCUUAACCUGGGAACUGCAUUCGAUACUGCUUAACUAGAGUAUGGUAGAGGGAAGUGGAAUUCCGGGUGUAGCGGUGGAAUGCGUAGAUAUCCGGAGGAACACCAGUGGCGAAGGCGACUUCCUGGGCCAAUACUGACGCUGAGGUGCGAAAGCGUGGGGAGCAAACA
This 207-nucleotide ribosomal RNA is filed under the name uncultured bacterium. Its description in RNAcentral is "partial 16S ribosomal RNA". It matches the Rfam family "Bacterial small subunit ribosomal RNA", at positions 568 to 774 of the family's 1533-position model. The record is from RNAcentral.